ACAUCACAGACAUACCCUCUUCUCACCCCUCCUACUUCACAGACACACCCUCUCCUGACCCCUCCCACAUCACAGGCAUAACCCUCUUGUCACCCCUCCUACUUCACAGACACACCCUCUCCUGACCCCUCCCACAUCACAGUCACCCACUGGCCAAUAGACCUAAAAGGUUAUCAUAGGCAAAGCACUCACUGUAUCUCUUCCUAACUUCCCAACUACUCCAGAAGACAGAUCCCCAAAGGAGAUUUCCACAUGAGAGGGCACACCAGAUUCAACUCAAGUCAAAGGCCAACUGACUUGCUUAUGUUAGGCCUAGUAGGGCUGGAAAAGAGCUGGAAGCCCUAUCUCCAUGGAGCUGAUGCAGUUAAUUGGAGCGUCUUGAAAGUGCACAUUAACACAGAGAGAGCGGCGGAGACGGCUUGGCAGCGGAAUAUCGUUAUCACUUCUUGAGCUCCAGCCAAAAUCCCCUUGCGGUCAAAACACAAUUCUUUAAACUAAACAAUUAAAGAUUUGUGCGAGCGUG
Non-coding RNA from Rattus norvegicus (Norway rat), 523 nucleotides. NCBI's taxonomy places the organism in Eukaryota, Metazoa, Chordata, Mammalia, Rodentia, Muridae. The record is from RefSeq and is a predicted model, not a curated record.